GUUUGUGUUUGUUUUGUAUGUAUGAAUGACAUUUAAUCAAUGCUGUAACACUUGAGUUGCAAAAACUUCAGUAAAUGUUACAAGAACUCUCUCAGCCUACGUGAAUGAAGCAAUUUUCCAUGAAGACAGCCCAUAGCAGGGGGAACAAGGCACCUGCACCCCUGGAUGCGCUCACUGAUUUGAUCUCAUCAACAGCUGUUGCCAAAUACCCUUUCCAGGCCCUACUCCCAGUCUGGGCUCACCUAACAUGGAAAGAAAAAAGGCAUAUCGAAACCUCCGUGGAUCGGCAGAUGCAGGUAAGUAAAAUUGCCAUUUAAGUGCACGGACUGUCCCUGAUUUAGUAUUUAUUCAUGUUAAACUUUUCCUGCUGGGGGCUCCAUUUUUUUAAGUUUUGGCUGAUUCUGUGUGCUGCUGCAGCAGCAGCAUCAAAAGGAAAAGAGUUCCUUGGCUUAAACACCAUGGCAGCAAAAUACAGUGGCCUGUGUGCAUCCAGCGUGGUUUCUGGAGGCUUAUCUGCACAAGAAUGUACUUAACAGGCACUAAUGAUUUAGUUUAUGGGGAUGUACUAGAUGUAAAAUAAAAAGCCCUGGAGAAAUUCAAUUAUAAAUAUUUUAUUUAAGAAUACUGAUUACACAUGAGAUGUCGUUUUUUAUGAGUCUGUGUACAGUUACUAGUUACACCAUGAAGUGUAGUUCAGUAUUUGCUUAAACAUUUAUUUGGCACUGUCCACAGUAUGCUGUAAACAAUAUUAACUUUAUAUGCUUCAGCUGCAGUGCUUUCUAUGUAUUCUCUAACAUGAUUUCAUCAACAUCUUGUACACAAUUAUACAGUUACUGAGUGUCAGUAAAAAUUAUAAAAACACCUAGAGUAUUCAUAAUAAAAGUGAAGAUGUGGUAAGACUUCAAA
Long non-coding RNA from Calidris pugnax (ruff), 906 nucleotides. RefSeq lists it as uncharacterized. The record is from RefSeq and is a predicted model, not a curated record. The transcript has 2 exons. Lineage: Eukaryota; Metazoa; Chordata; Aves; Charadriiformes; Scolopacidae.